UUCGCUAUAAAAUGANGCUMUAUUGUAUCAGCUAGUUGGUAAGGUAAUGGCUUACCAAGGCUMUGACGCAUAACUGGUCUGAGAGGAUGAUCAGUCACACUGGAACUGAGACACGGUCCAGACUCCUACGGGAGGCAGCAGUAGGGAAUAUUGCUCAAUGGGGGAAACCCUGAAGCANCAACGCCGCGUGGAGGAUGACACUUUUCGGAGCGUMAACUCCNYUUCUUUGGGAAGAAUAAUGACGGUACSAAAGGAAUAAGCACCGGC
This 267-nucleotide ribosomal RNA is filed under the name Campylobacter sputorum. RNAcentral describes it as "partial 16S ribosomal RNA". It matches the Rfam family "Bacterial small subunit ribosomal RNA", at positions 214 to 497 of the family's 1533-position model. The record is from RNAcentral. Lineage: Bacteria; Pseudomonadati; Campylobacterota; Epsilonproteobacteria; Campylobacterales; Campylobacteraceae.